This 807-nucleotide ribosomal RNA is filed under the name Oswaldofilaria petersi. RNAcentral describes it as "eukaryotic LSU rRNA". It matches the Rfam family "Eukaryotic large subunit ribosomal RNA", at positions 65 to 674 of the family's 3401-position model. The record is from RNAcentral. Lineage: Eukaryota; Metazoa; Nematoda; Chromadorea; Rhabditida; Onchocercidae.
CUAACGAGGAUUUCCUUAGUAACGGCGAGUGAACAGGAAAAAGCCCAGCGCUAAAUCCAGUAGCAUAUAAGCUAUAUGGAAAUGUAGCGUAUAGGUGUAACUAUCCGUAUCGUUUCCUGCACCCAAAGUCCCCUUGAGCGGGGCUACAGUCCAUAGAAGGUGCUAGACCUGUACGGGUGAGGAAAUUUUAUGGUAGGUUGCUCCUUGGAGUCGGGUUGUUUGAGAUUGCAGCCCAAAGAGGGUGGUAAACCUCAUCUAAGGCUAAAUACGGCCACGAGACCGAUAGCAAACAAGUACCGUGAGGGAAAGUUGCAAAGAACUUUGAAGAGAGAGUUCAAGAGGGCGUGAAACCGCUGAGAUGGAAACGGAUAGAGUUAACGAAACUAUACCGGUAUUCAACCAAUCAAUUUAGCAAUCUUACGGCUUUCAUACCUUUCCUCGUGUAAAGGAUAUUGACGUAGGAUAUAAUGUUAAAUUUUCAUGUAAGAUUGGUGUAUUUACCGGUGGUAUGCAUCGAGAGCUUCGCUGUUGUAUAUUGAUACAUAUUUAGUGGACCACCUAACAAUGUGGAACCCUGGAUAUGAUGAAAUAUAUCUUCGGUGAAUUUAUUUUUCGCCAAUUUAUAUUGGUGCAUCGAUUAUAAUUUAGCUGAUUACAUUUGUUGUGGUCGCAUGCGACUAAUCAAUAAAUGUUUCAAUUCAAUUGGUAAAAUUAUAAUAUUGUAUGCGAUCAAGGAUCAUGAAAAUUACAUCUCGAUGUGAACGUUAAUCACCUAUCCGACCCGUCUUGAAACACGGACCAAGGAGU